UGGGGAAUAUUGGACAAUGGGGGGAACCCUGAUCCAGCAAUGCCGCGUGUGUGAAGAAGGCCUGAGGGUUGUAAAGCACUUUAAGUUGGGAGGAAGGGCAGUUACCUAAUACGUAUCUGUUUUGACGUUACCGACAGAAUAAGCACCGGCUAACUCUGUGCCAGCAGCCGCGGUAAUACAGAGGGUGCAAGCGUUAAUCGGAAUUACUGGGCGUAAAGCGCGCGUAGGUGGUUUGUUAAGUUGGAUGUGAAAUCCCCGGGCUCAACCUGGGAACUGCAUUCAAAACUGACAAGCUAGAGUAUGGUAGAGGGUGGUGGAAUUUCCUGUGUAGCGGUGAAAUGCGUAGAUAUAGGAAGGAACACCAGUGGCGAAGGCGACCACCUGGACUGAUACUGACACUGAGGUGCGAAAGCGUGGGGAGCAAACAGGAUUAGAUACCCCCGUAGUCCCUGAGCGGGCUGGCAAGGCGCAU
Molecule: ribosomal RNA, 472 nt
Filed under: uncultured bacterium
Lineage: Bacteria
Description: bacterial SSU rRNA
Rfam family: Bacterial small subunit ribosomal RNA
Source: RNAcentral